UCCCUUGCCAAUCACAUGAGAACUGACCUAGGGAGAACAUCAGCUGAAGGUUGUCUUCUAACUGGAAAAUGAAGAGUCAAAAAGUCCUGAGGCCUUUCUGCCCUUCUCACUGAAAGGAAAAUGAACAGCCUGGUCAUAGGAUGAAUGUUGUCUUGGGUCACCAUCAAGAUCCUGACCUGCCUAAAUGAUGUGACACAAGGAAAGAGUGGCCAAAAUUUAUUAUUUUGGUCUCAAAAGACAACGAGUAGGAAACCACUAAUUAUCAAGAAAAUAUCAAGAUUUGAACAUGAAAAAUAUGGAUCAUGCAUGCAGAGGCUCACAUCUCUCUUUGGGUGUGUACGUGGCUCUCAGUUCCUCCUGGGAUUAGUGGCAGAACUUCAAAAAACCCUGAGCCAAGACCAGAUUUUCAGAGGUCCCCAGCAUCCCCCAGUU
RNAcentral lists this long non-coding RNA (432 nucleotides) under Cyanistes caeruleus (blue tit). RNAcentral describes it as "lncRNA (ENSCCEG00000012223.1)". Lineage: Eukaryota; Metazoa; Chordata; Aves; Passeriformes; Paridae. The record is from RNAcentral.